GAUGAACGCUGGCGGCGUGCCUAAUACAUGCAAGUCGAGCGAACAGAUGAGGAGCUUGCUCCUCUGACGUUAGCGGCGGACGGGUGAGUAACAAGUGGAUAACCUACCUAUAAGACUGGGAUAACUUCGGGAAACCGGAGCUAAUACCGGAUAAUAUAUUGAACCGCAUGGUUCAAUAGUGAAAGACGGUUUUGCUGUCACUUAUAGAUGGAUCCGCGCCGCAUUAGCUAGUUGGUAAGGUAACGGCUUACCAAGGCAACGAUGCGUAGCCGACCUGAGAGGGUGGUCGGCAACACUGGAACUGAGACACGGUCCAGACGCCUACGGGAGGCAGCAGUAGGGAAUCUUCCGCAAUGGGCGAAAGCCUGACGGAGCAACGCCGCGUGAGUGAUGAAGGUCUUCGGAUCGUAAAACUCUGUUAUUAGGGAAGAACAAAUGUGUAAGUAACUAUGCACGUCUUGACGGUACCUAAUCAGAAAGCCACGGCUAACUACGUG
RNAcentral lists this ribosomal RNA (497 nucleotides) under uncultured bacterium. Its description in RNAcentral is "partial 16S ribosomal RNA". It matches the Rfam family "Bacterial small subunit ribosomal RNA", at positions 28 to 507 of the family's 1533-position model. The record is from RNAcentral.